CCCGGGUCGGUUCGGGACUCGCGGGCGGGGCGGGGACGGCGGGCCGGGCCGGGCCGGAGAGCAGGAGCCGGGGAGGUCGCCCGCCCCUUCCGGACGCUGCGGCUUGGGCAUCGCCGGGCCGUCCUGCCACGCGCGGUCCCCCCGAAGGGAGUUGAGACGCUCCUGGACCUCGCCACCCGGCUGCCACCAAUGCGGGCCCGGGGCCUGAGCUCGGGGAGUGAGCUCGCGGCCGCAAGGCCAACGCUCACACUUUGGUGCCCGGAGCGCGAGCGACGGAGUGCCGGCCAGCCUGCGGACCUGGGGCCGGCCCGGCUCUCUCACCCGGGCUUUGGGAACCUGGAGGAGUCGCCAACUUCUUUGUACCUCCGUUCCCUCUUCUGUGAAAAGGGAACAUAACAGCACCCAUCUCACCGAGUGGUUGGGGACAGUAAAUGAGCUAACUGUGCACCAGCGCCAGGCAGAGAGUCGAUACCACACGAGCGUCCCCGGCUAGUUUUAUUGUUGUUGGCAACCCGUGUGACCACCUGCCUUGCUCCAUGCCCUGGGUUGGAGGCUUCGUGAGGUGGAGACCGUAUCACGCUCUGCUCUGGUCUCAGCACAUACAAAGGCUCUGCAGGCGAGUGUGUGCUUCACUGUGAGGCACAUGCUUCCUGAAGACGGUGGCAGAUGUGUUUAACAAAAACUUAGGAGAAACAGAAAUAACAUCCACAGCCUUGGGACGCCUGCUGGAAUGCAUCUCCGUCACCACCCUCCCACCUCCAAAACUCUUAUCAUUUGGGAGACUUGUCUGUCUCCCCCUCACCCCUCACCCAUCCUCGCCCCCCCUAGCCCCCCUCCCCGGCCCCAGGACCACCUUCCUUAAGAGAGAUGGAAUCCCCUGAGGAUUCCAGUCUGGCCCCACCUGGCAAGCUGCUCAGAUCGUGGGACCCUCUCCUGGAGGGCUAUCUAAUAGUUCACGUGAAACAAACUCACCUUGACCCGCACAGCAUCAUCCGAUGCUCUGAAAAAUAAAACAUCUCCCAUGGCCUGUGUGGCAAGACAUUUUGAAGGAUUGUUCAUUAUAAACAGUUACACUGGGCUUGAAAGCUUUAAAGAAGCCUUUUUGUUCUUCUUUCCUUGAAUCCUCAAAGCCAAAGUGUUGGAGAACUUUGAGCAUAGAGUUUACAUCAUAAACCAUUGAGUUCAGAAAGAUGUAUGGUAACGUAAAGGUUUUUUUCCCCACCCAAAGGAGCAGAGUUGAUCAGCAGACAGGAAGAAAAGCAGAGGGGAGGUGACUGGUAUUUAUUGGCCCUGGAAGGUCUCUGAGAGGUGGCCCAGCGCCCCCCACUCUCCACCACCACCAAACGAGAGAAAGCCUGGCCUCCUCCCAAGAGAGGAGAUUGAUGGGAAUCCUGGAAGAGAGGAGCACUGCUGGGCUCCCCAGGGUUUAGCCUAGGACACCAGCAGCAUCAUAGCAAAGCCCUGUGUCCAGCAUGGCCCAUCCAUGGGGCAGCCCUGACAGCAGGAUGCCUGGGCCUGAGGACAGGCUGCCUCACAAAGUCUCGUGCGUCUCAGAGUGUUCAGAGUCCCCAAACCCUCUAGAGGCUGCAGAGCGGCUGAGAAGGCCACCACCUAGAAAAGCCCUUGCAGCUGGGGACUGCCGGGCAAGCACGAACUCAGCUGAGGUCGGUAAGACCAGAGGAUGAUCUAUGGACCAGAACCCCUCCCCAGAUGCCAGGACAAGCCUUAAGCAGUCCAUGUCCUUCACCCCCAAAGAACUCCAGUUACCAUCCAGAGAAAAAAAGGGGUUUGAAGAGGGAAGAAUUCUGAACAGCUUGUGCUGUUACCCCAAAGAGACUGAGUCUUGAACCAGUGGAGACUAAACAACCCUGAAUUGGCAAGAUUUUUUCUGGCAUCAGAUGUAAAUGAGGAUUCAUGAGCAAAGUUGGCUUCAGUUAUGAAAAAGAAAGAAAAUUAAGUUUUUGCACACAGAGCCUCCGUGAUUCUUGCUACGCCAAUUUCUUAUUAUUGAUGGAACUGCCAGUAACCACUCAGAACCACAGCGUUCUCUGAGAUACCUUUAGAAACCACUGUCCCAGAUGGACUUCCUUCUACAGCCUAGUUUUGCUCCUUUCACACAUUUUCCAUCCACUGACCUCCAAAUAAAUGCUUUUUAAAUGUGCAUCUCUCAUUACCUCCCAUCACUGCAAGUUCUUGGUUUUACUUGACUCGACACUCGCCCCUUCUCUAAGCAAAUUUGCGUGGGCUUCUGUGAUCGUCUUUCUAUUCUGAUUUUGCAAGAUUUUUACCAAUCAGAAAGCCACAUGUGAACUACAGAUGAGAGCUGAUGAUAAAGUGUAAAAUAUCAUAAGACUGCCACAGCAAUAAACUAUUUCUUAACCUACUCUAUAACAAGAGGAAGGAAAGAUGGGUAUGGCAGACAGUCCUGCCAACCCCUUGUUCUAAUUGCAGAUUUAAUCUUGCUCAAUGAAGGCAAAUCACUGAAAGUGGCUUCUUGCGCUGGUUUUCCCUGUGCUAACACAGAAACACACUGCAAAUUCCAGAGGCCGAUAGACUUAGUAACUUCUAGGAAUUACUGCACUUAACAGAACCAGACUGGUGGUGCCUUUCUCUUAUGCCAGCUGUCCGAUUCGAUGAUUGCUUCAACACAUGAAACUUAACCCCAAGAACCAAACCAUCCAUCACUACCCACAAGGCAGCCAUUACCGGCUUCUCCACGUCAGCCAAGAAGGGCCUAUUGAAAUGUUUGUGCUUAGUCACAUGCACGACACAUAACAAGGGUACUGCCUUCCUUAAACUCAUUUUUAAAUCUAAUAUUCUUUCCCUUGUGUUUCUACAUGGUCCCACCAUCUUUGGUUCUCUGCAAGUUUCUAUAAUUCAUCUCUAAGUUUUGUCACUUUCCCUUUUCCACAAGCACCUUCCAAAAUCCAGACUUUCAUGUUGCAGCCUUUCAACUCUUUGAUCCUUUCUGAAUAUAACUGCCAACUUAUUUUCUCUAAGUAGUUUUCUUUCGAUAUGAUCACUGUAGUAGGUAAAGAUGGCUGCAAAUUCUUCACUCCUCCUCCAAUUAAGAGGUGAAGUCUAAUAAUCUCUCAUUGAUUCUGGGCAGGCCUCGGUGACUUAACCAAUUUCAACUAGCAGAAUGAGGUAGAAUUGACUUUCUGGGACUUCUGAGGCCAGAUCAUCAAAAACCUUUCAGCUUCUUCCUGGGCCUCUUGGAACAUUUACUCUUGGUACCCAAAGCUGCCAGAACAAACAACUUGGCAACAACUCAGCAGCAGGUGAAGUGCUGCCCAAUAGCAAUUCCUGUCAUCCAUGUCUGCCCUGACGGAGGGUGGGACCUAGGAAACUUCUCUGCCGUGAGCCCAAGAGUUGGGAGAAGAGGCCAUAGUCCCGCUGAUUCCUUCUUUGCCUCUUGCCUCCUCACAAGUAAAUCACUAAAUAAAGAGCCUUGAUGAGGCCAACGCCGCGGGGCCUGGAGUACUCUUCAGAGCGAUGUUGGGAGAAGCCUCUGACCUCAAUUCCCCAGUAAUGGCAUAAAAGAUUCAGGAUCCAGACUGGACCAGACUUUGGGCAGGAGACAAAGAGAGUCCCCUGUGUGUGACUUAUGCAGCAGCUCCCAGAAGGUGGCUACGAGGAUUCCCUUUCUCAUUUCUCUAGAUCUGUGCUCUAAUACGUGACGGAUCUAGGAAUAUGUAGCUAUUUAAAUUAUUUAAAAUUAAAUAAAAUUAAAAAACAAUUUCUCAUUUGUUCUAGCCACGUUUAAGGAGUUGAGUGUCUGCAAAUUUGUCACUAGUGGCUACCAUAUUGAACAGCCAUAGAACAUUUCCAUCACUGUGAAAUAUUCUAUUACUCAGUACGGCUCUAAAGUCUAGACACUUCAGGGCCUCUGGCACUGGGGCCUUCUCCAGCAAGCUAGUUUUCAUCCAAAAUGGACAACUUGCUCAUUUUAUAUCUACAUCUGAGCAAGAAUCUUCUUCAUGCCUUUCCCUUUCCUUUUGAUGAACUGUGUCAUCAUUCAGUCUGUCGUUGCUCAGCUAAAUCAUACCUGCUUACACGUUCCUCUAUAUUUUAUGUACUCAGUUUGUAUAUUAUUAUAAUGACCUUGCGUUCAUCAACGUAAUGCUUUGUCCGUAAUUGUCUCAUAUGAAUAUUUUUAUUUUUCUAGUAAAAAUAAAUGUAAGAUCUUCAGGGAUGGGAACCAUGUAUUUUUGGAGGGGUGGGGAAUCCCUCCAUUCCUUGUCCCAAAAUACUCAUAUGAAACCCUGAACGUCAGAAGUAGUCAACUGACCAGCUAAGGAGGAGGGUGUGGAGGGUUUUGUAUGGUAGGUAUCACCCCAAACUUCUGCUCCCCCGCAAUGAUUUCUAGCAGAGACAAUACUGUGGUCCCCAGUCAUAGUGUCAUAAAAUCAGCAGCAGAAUAUUUGUUACCUUUCAAUUAAAAUUAAAAAAUGACCAAAGAUUUAAAAUACAAUUACGUUAGCAAAUUAAACUGUAAAAUCUUACCACACGCUACAGUUUUGUCAUUCCUUUUUGUUAUUGUCUAAGAAAAAAAUCAUUUAUCGUGCUGUUGCUUUGACAUAUUAACUGUGUGCUUGUCAAGUAACUUGGAGAUUUCCCAACUACUCCCUGGCUUGAAAAUAAUGACAACAUAACCACUCUCAGAGAGCAAGUGCCCAAGGAGAAGAGGGGUAGGUGUGUACCCAGAACCCAGGCUUUCCUAAGAACACAAGGCGAGGGUCCUGGUACAGAAGAUUUGAAUGCAGAGGAAAGCCUGCAUUCAAAUACAUUUCCUGAGAGGAGAGUCUUUUCCCUAUGCUGUCUCAAGAAAAAGAGAGAGGGGCUGGCCAGUGGCGCAGCAGUUAAGUGCGCACGUUCCGCUUUAGCGACCUGAGGUUCGCCGGUUCCGAUCCCGGGUGCAGACAUGGCACUGCUUGGCAGAAGCCAUGCUGUGGUAGGCGUCCCACAUAUAAAGUAGAGGAAGAUGGGCAUGGAUGUUAGCUCAGGGUCGGUCUUCCUCAGCAAAAAGAGGAAGAUUGGCAGUAGUUAGCUCAGGGCUAAUCUUCCUCAAAAAAAAAAAAAGGAGAGAAUCUUGGGAAUAAAAUGGUGAUGGCUAAGAAAGUAUUGAGCACUCUUUCUGCUUUCCCUGCUCCCAGUGUGGAAGUAGUGAGGUAGGUACCUGGAAGACCGGUAAAAACCAGCAGUUUGGGAAAGACCCUGACACAGUCUCUGCAGAGAGACCAGUCCAAGCCAGGGAGGGGAGGGAGUGUAGCCCACAGACAAAAACAGUGCCAGCACACCGUGGGCUCAGGGGCAGCAUGGCGCCCCCAGCGCUACCAUCUCACGUGCGGGUCUGCUACACCUUUUGUCUGGUUUAUCCCUUAGUUGUUCAUAUUAUUGAUACUAUUGUAAUGGGUAUUGCUUAUAAAUUUCAAUUCCUGAAUGUUCAUUGCUAGUAUAUAGAAAUACAGCUGACCUUUGUAUAUUGAUCUUGUGACCCGCAAAACUCACUUAGUUCUAGUAGCUGUUUUAUAGAUUUCAGAGGAUUUUCUACACAAACCACCAUGUUGUCUGCAAAAUAGUUUUACUUCCUCUUUUCCAAUCUGGAUGACUUUUAUUUCAUUUCUUGACUUUUUACACCAACUAAAUCCUUUAGUACGAUGCUGAAUAGAAGCGAGGAAUGCUUUCAGCCUUUCACCAUCAAGUAUGAUGUUAGCUCAUGGUCUUUCAUAGACGCCUCUUAUCAGGUUGAGGAAGUGACUUCUAUUCUCAAUUUUCUGAGAAUUUUUGUCAGGGAUAGAUGUCGGAUUUUGUCAAGAGCUUUUUCUGCAUCUGUUGAGAUGAUUAUACAGUUUUUCUCUCUCACAUAUUUUAUUAAUAUGGUGAAUUAUAUUUAUGGAGUUUCCAAUGUUAAGCCAAUGCUUGCGUUCCUGGGAUAAAGCGUAGCUGGCCAUGAUGUAUUAGCCUUUUUAUAUAUUAUUGAAUUGGAUUUACUAGUAUUUUAUUUAGAAUUAUAUCUAUCUUAAUACGGAAUAUUGGUCUAUAGUUACCUUUUCUUGUCAGGUGCUGUCUGGUUUUGCUGUCUGAUUGGUGCUAGCCUAGAGAUAGGAGAACUCAUGAGCUGGGAAGUGUUUAUUCCUCUUCAAUUCUCUGGAAGAGUUUGUGCAGAACUGAUAUGAUUUCUUUCUUAAGUGUUUGGUAGCAUCCACCAGGAAAGUUAUUUGGGCCUGAAGUUUUCUUUGUGGGAAGAUUUUUAACUACAAAUUCAAUAUCUUUAAUAGAUAAAGAGCUAGUCAAGUUAUCUGUUUCUUCUUGAAUGAAGUUGGUAGUUUGUGUCUUUCAAAGAAUUUGUCCAUUUCAUCUGUGUCGAUGUUUCUUGCAUAAUUUUGUUCCUAAUAUUCUGUUAUUAUCCUUUUAGUAUUUGUAAUGUAGUGCAGUGAUAUCAUCUAAGUCCUGCUGUUAUAUUUCUGUCUUCUCUUUUUUAUUGUCGAUCAUUCUGGCUAGAGGUUUAUCAACUUUAUUGAUCGUCUCAAAGAAGGUCAGAUCAAAUCAGCUUUUGGUGUUAUAGAUUUCUCACAAUAGAGAAAUUAAAUUAAGUUUCUGUUUUCUAUUUAAUUGCUUUCUGCUUUCAUCUUUAUUAUUUCUUAUCUUUUGCUUGCUGUGGGUGUAAUUUGUUCUUCUUUUUCUAAUUACAGUGAAGGCUGAGGUCAUUGAUUUGACACUUUUCUGCUUUUUAAAAUAGGCAUUUAGUGCUAUAAAUUUCUCCAUAAAUGAUUUAUCCUUCCAUAUAUAAGAACCUUACAAUACUAUAGUUUCAUUUCUCCCCGCCUGCCCUUUUGUGUUGUGUCAUUUAUUUUACUUUUACAUUGCACUUCUGUUUGAACAGUCAAUUUUCUUUUAAAGAAAUUUAAGCAAUAAUUUCAUUGCAAUUCCUAGUUCUCAUUAUUCCUUUGGAUAGAUCCAGAUCUUAUCUAUCAUCAUUUUCCUUCUGCCUAAAGAAUUGCCUUUAACGUUUUUGUAGUAUAAGCCUGCUGUGGAUGAAUUCAGCUUUUGUAUGUUUAAAAUGGUUUAAUUUUUCCUUUGUUUUUGAAAGAUAUUUUUACUGUGUAUAGAAUUCUAGCCUGACAGGUUUUUUUCUUCCAGUUCUUUAGAGAUGAUUCUCCAAAAUCUUCUAACUUACAUUAUUUCUGUGAGAAGUCUGCCAUCUUGUCACCCUUAUUUCUCUGUGGGUGUGUUUUUUUCACUGACUGCUUUUAAGAUUUUUCUUUUUCACUGGUUUUAAGCAAUUUGAUUAUGCUGAAACUUAGUGUACUUUUCUUUGUGUUUCUUGGGGUUCAUUGAGCUUCUUGGACCUGUGGGUUUAUAGUUUUCAUCCAAUUUGGAAAAGUUCUGGCCAUUAUUUUCAAAUAUUUCUUCUGUCACUCCCUCCCUUCCUCUUGGGGACUUCAAUUACAAGUGUUUGGGUGCUUGAAAUUGUCCUACAGUUCACUGAUGCUCUGUCCUUCUAUUUGUUAGUUUGUUUUCCCCUGUGUUUCAUUUUGAUGGUUUCUGUUGCUGUGUCUUUAAAUUCAUUAAUCUAUUCUUCUGCAAUGUCUAAUCUGCUGUUAAUCUCAUCCAGUGUAUUUCUUCUCUCAGACAUUUUUUCUCUCAGACAGAGUUUUCGUCUCUAGACAUUAGAGGUGGGUCUUCUUUUUUUUUCUUUUUUUCACAUCUUCCGUUUCUCAACUUGCUUCUUUGAACAGAUGGAAUACAAUUAUAAUCGCUGCUUGAAUGCCCUUGUCUGAUUCUCACAUCUGCAUUGCCUUUUAUUUGGUUUUGAUUGAUUAAUUUUUCACCUCCUUAUUUUCCUACUUGUUUGCAUACGUGGUAACUUUUUAUUGGAUGCCAAACACUGUGGAUUUUAACUUGUUGGAUGUGGGAUAUUUUUGAGUCCUGGGAUGCAUUUUAGUUCUUGGAAAUACUUUGACUAUUUUGGGUCUUGCUUUUGUGACUUAUUAGGCAGGAUCACAGCAACAUUCAGUUUUGCUGGAGCAUGAUCUUUCUUAUUCCUCUACUGAAUGCCUGCAAAUUGUAAGGUUUUCCAUUCUGGCUGGUGGGAACAGAAAUUGUUCCUGGCCAUGUAUACUGUCUACUAUUUCAUCUAAUCGUUAGGAUAGUUCUUUUUCUGGCCUCAAGUAGUUUCCUCACAUGCACGUGAUGAUCGAUACUCUGCUGAAUUCUUAAAGGGGCCCCUCUGCAAAUCUGAAGUUCUCUCUGACGGAGCUUUCUCCUCUGUGGCAUUCUUCCUGUGAACUGCAGCCACCGUGGUCCCCCUUGGCUCUCAGCUCUGUCCCGUCAGUCCAGGAAGUUUGGAGAGUCCUGCCUGGGUCCUCCUUUUCUGAGAAAAUGGCUGGGCAUUCUUCCAUGGCCUGGAAACUCUCUCAAGUCAGUAAGCAGGGGCAAUUGUAGGGCUCACCUCAUUUCUUUCCUUUCUCUCAGGAAUCACUGUCCUUCAUUGGCUGAUGUCCAGUAUCUUAAAAACCCUGGCUUCAUGUAUUUUAUACAGUUCUUUUGGUUGUCUCUGGUGAGAAAGUAAAUCCAGGCCCUAUUACUCAAUCUUGGCUGGCAGCAGAAUUCAGCUACAUAGUUUCCAAAAUUCAUAGAUAUAAUAGUUUACCGUGAACGUGUCUAAAAUUCUUUAUGCAGCUCAAAAAAUUUUUAUUUUAAUUUUGGUUAGAAAUUAUCUAUACAACAUAACCUAGAAUUAGUAAAUGUUAGCCAAGAGCAAGACUUUUGAGGAAUGAAGUAAAUUGUGGAUGAUGUCGGGUAAAGGACAGCCUGGCAACUGUCAGAUCCAGAGAGACCAGCUGUGAAGCACGAGCCUGACUGGAAAAGUCCCAGGGUUGUAUCCCUGGGGGUGGAAAGGAAAGAACAGUUGUGAAGAAGGGAGGGAAGGAAGGAAAGGACAAGGGAGGGAGGGAGGGAGACGUAUGCAGUCCAAGGAACGCGAUCCUCCAUCUCCAGGAUUGCCAACUCUAAAGGUUUGGAAGGAAGAAUUAUUAACACUUAGGAUUAGUUGAGUACAGGCAUCAGGAGGGAGAAAUUUGAAAGGAGAUUCUAAGCAUGUUCAAAAAAAUUGUUAGGGAAAAAGAUAUUCUGCGUUAGUGGCUCUCAAAUUUCCUGGAGAACCUUUCAGGGGUCCACAAAGUCAAAACUACUUUGAUAAUAAUUCAAAGACAGUGUGUGCCUUCUUCACACACGCUCUCUCACAAGCCUACAGGGCUUCUCCAGAAUCUACACGUUGUCCCUCUCAAAGAGGACUGAGUGUGGAAGCAGACAGGAGCGUUCACCUGUCUUCUGUUGAGCCAAAUAUUAGAGAGAUAUAGAGGACAGCGUAAACCAUGUAAAACAAUGCUACUUUUCUAAUUUAUUUUUUUCAAAAGAUAAUUAUUUUUAUAAAAGAGAUGUCAUUUAGGUUAACAGGUAAUGAAUUUAUCAUUAUUUUUAAAUGAUCAAUAAAAAUUUAUUUUUAAGCUUAUUUUAAUGUUUAAUACAGUUGAUAUCAAUAGUUAACCGUAUAAACAAAUCUCUUUAAAGUUCUCAAUAAUAUUUAUAAGUAUGUAAAGGGGUCCUUAGACCACAAGUCUGAGAACUUCAGUUCCACCUAAAGCUUUUGCAGCCCUGUGGAGACCACUGCGUGGUUCCUGGAAGCAUCUUCUCAGGAGCAAGGACAACGGGCAGGUCAAGAAGCCAGAAGGGAGAAUCAACCCCAAGACCAACUGCUUCCCCUAUUACCCAGAGUUUGAAAUGACAUUCACAGAACAGCAGCCCUACAAGCCUCACCCGUAAGGAACUGGGUUCUAACUCUUCACUGAGAUCUUAACUGCACUUUGAGGUAACACAGGUCUACCUUGAAUUUCUCGAAGGCUCUGCGAAAUCGCCAGUGCCGUUUCCAAUUUCCUUCACCACCACGUUCCUAACGGUUCUUCUGGCCCAUGCCUAAUAAUUGAUCAUUUAUGUAAGAAGGAAAUGUGUAAAUAUCAAGCACUAUUGUGUGUCUGACAGUGAGUUAGAUGCUUUAGGAGGACAUCGUAUUUCAUGCUCAGCACGCUAUGAACCAUAUCACUGUCUCCUCCUCUUACAGACAGAAACAGAAGUUCUGCAGAGCUUAAGGAACUCGCCUAAGAUUACUCAGGGAGUGAAAUACCAAAUUGGGACUCAGCUCAUGCUCCAAAGCUGAUGAUCUUUCCUGUGCCUAUUGUUGCCUUUUCCAGUUUCACCAUUUAUCUUAGUGUCACUGUUUAUAAAGUGAAAAACACCCUAAAACAGGUAGGAGCUGGGAAGUCUGCUUUCUAGAACUAGAAGGCGUAUAGCCUCUAGCCUAGUGGUUAGGAGUGUAGACAAUGGAGCCUUACUGCCGUAAGUUACAUCUCAACUCUACCGUGUACUAGCUGUGUGGUGCUGAGCAAGUCACCUGAGACUUGCUGUGACUUCUCUGUGUCUCAGUUUUCUUGACAGUAAAAUAGUGUUAUUAGUAGUUUCUACUUUACUGGUUUGGUGUACUAAAUAAGUUAAUAAUAAGUUAAUAAUAAUAAGUUAAGUAAAGGCUGAAUAAGUUAAUGUGUAAAAAGCAGUUAAACAUUGUCUGACACAUAGUCAAUGGUAGAGGCGAUGGUUAUUUGCCAUAUAUUAGUUGUGUCUGGGUAACUUAGGCUUUUUGAACCUAUGAAAUAGGUAUAAAAAUAUCUGCUCAGUUGCACCACAGAGUUACUGAGAAAAUUACAGAUAACUAAAGUACCUGACAACAUUUGUAACUGAAUAAUAUUAUGCAAAUAAGCAAAUAUUACAGAAGGUUUGUUAGGCAUAAACUCCUAACGUGAUAUCACUUUUGGAAUACAGAGUUUUCUGGUAAAGAGUGGGUCGGUAUUUCUGGCUAAAAGAGAAUACACUAGUCACCACAAUUGAUAAAUUCCUCAUUCCAAAAACACAGCCAAAACCACAUUCAGAAAGCAGGGUAUUUCUGCACCAGCACCCCAGGCUAAAGUAAGUGGGUGUGAGAUGUGUACAUAACUCAGUCUUCGUGAGGGGCCGGUGAAGAAAUCUCGGGCACUGCGAUCCAAGCAGCACUCAGAGAUAAAGAAGCACUUAAAGGAAACAAAAGGGCCGUUUGCAACCAGAAGUUUCUCAACAUUCCUUACGUAAACUCAGAAAUUUAAUUAUUGCCAUGACAAAGUGGUUCUGCUUCUCUUCGUUUUUCAUUGUUAAAAAAGUUUUAACCAAACUUGAAUCAUUUCCUGUCCUAACUGCAAGACCUCUUUCCCGUUCCUCCUACGUACUAAACUGCAAAUCACUGUUGCCAAAGAAAUCGUCCUCCUCGUCGCCAAAUAAUCUCAAGCCGUUAGACGUCACACGCACAUGUACACACACAUGCACAUGCACACACAUCCCUACCCUGUCAUAAAUCCCUGCUGGUGCUUCAUAGCACAUGUCACCAUCUAACUUCCUUUGCAUAUCAGUUUGUGAUCU
This 11505-nucleotide long non-coding RNA is filed under the name Equus caballus (horse). Its description in RNAcentral is "lncRNA (ENSECAG00000045703.1)". Lineage: Eukaryota; Metazoa; Chordata; Mammalia; Perissodactyla; Equidae. The record is from RNAcentral.